This is a long non-coding RNA of Mustela lutreola (European mink), 3793 nucleotides long. RefSeq lists it as uncharacterized. The record is from RefSeq and is a predicted model, not a curated record. The transcript has 2 exons. Lineage: Eukaryota; Metazoa; Chordata; Mammalia; Carnivora; Mustelidae.
GGUGGAGGGGAUCACAGGCCCCUCGAUUGAGCUCUUGGGGGCCACAGACCUGUUCUCUAGAAAUAGAGCCCAACCCAUGCCCCAAGCUAAGAACCCUCAAUCCAUUCUGUGCCCUGAAUAUUACGUUGAGUCAUAUGAAAUGGCUGAUUUUCGACCUAUUAAGACGGCAGUUUCAAAAGGUUCAACUAAUACUUGUCACAUCCGAUCGUCCUGGCCACCCUCUCUUGCCGGAAGCCGCCCGUGGUCUUGAUCGCAGCCCCGCCCCGCGGCCCACGCCAUCCUUCCUCUCCCCCUGUCCUUAGAAAACCCUACAUUUCCCCUUAGCCAUACUUUUCUCCGCGAUUGCUACAUUUCUUUACCUAGUUCUGCACUUGCUUGAUUUCUGUCUCUUCCCUCUCCACCGAGACCCCCAGUGGCAGGAGUAAGUGUAAUUGGUGCAUUGCUACGCCGCCAGCACCCGAACACCGGGCAUACAGCAGUGACUCCAUGUGAACUUACCUACUGAACCAACUCAUAAUCUGCUCCAUUCCGCUGAAACGUCUACGAAGCGGAACAACCCAGCUUGGUCUUGAGGCACAGCCUGCCACACAGCCCGCCACAGUGACAGCGACAGAAAGGACUUGGAUAAUGGCAAUGGCGUCUGACUGCUUCGGUGGUGCCCUCGCUGCUCCCUGGUGUUAUUGUGAUUCAGCCUUCCACCAGUGCUGCAAAGUGGAGAGAGCGCCAGCUCCAUUCAUCAGACGAGGAAACUGAGGCUUGGAGGGGAAGUGCUUGCUUGAAGUCCCCCAGACCAGGAAGCCCUAGACUUACUGCCCUGCGCCUUUCUUACAAAGGAUUGGCAGCAAAGACGGACUGAUAGGGAAGGCGUCACUGGGGUGUGGGGAGAGGUAGGGAGGACUUCAGCAAAGCCCCCAUGUCAGCAGCUCCCCUCGCAAACAGGACCCCGGGGCUGCCCUUACCAGCAGUCCUCUUCAGCAUCUGGUGCAUGGCUGUUAUCAGCUAAGCCUGGGUCCCGGUUCCCCGAGAAUGCUUCAGUGGGUGUCUUAAGAUGUUGAAUCAGAGAAGUCACUGGAGGCUGCUCUGCUUUGUUGUCUACUCUAGGAGGAACCAGGACUGGGCUUUCACUGAGUGAGGAUGUUUAUUGUCUAACAAUAGAUGUUAACGUUGUCAACAUCCUCAUCUCCGGGAUGAAAAAAACAGGCCCAGAAAUGUCAGGUGACAUGCCCGAGGCCCCCAGCAGGGGAAAGAUAGGGCCAGCAUUCAAGCCCUGUGGGUGGGCUGGUUCUGUCACAUUGGCUAGGGAUCAAACGCAGUUUGGGAAGCCCCAACAUUCUGUUCCAUUUUCCUGAUUUUAUGGAUGAGGGAAUGAGGCCCGGAGAAGGUCAGAAAGUUGCCCAAGGCCACACAGUGAUCUCCAGAGAAUAUAUGAGGUCAGAAAGGACCCUGGGAGUCUCUCUCGACCAGAUCUCCUCCUAACAACACUUUUAGUUAGGAGAGAUUGGGAGCAGGAUUCCAGUCAUCCACAUGGCCUGCCUUCUCCCUGCAGCCAAAGAGCUUGGGCUGCAGGCAGAUGGAAGCCACGUUUACCCCGCCAGGCCUCUGUGAGCUCACUGUCUAGGCAUCCAAGGCUCCGGAUCCCAAACCCACAUGUCCUUGAGAAGCAUGGGAAAUGGGGUGGCCCUGGAGACUCAGUUGGAGGGGAACAGCCCCCCGCUGGCAGCUUUGUGGCCAUCCCACCCUAACUUUCCAGGGUUCCUGUCUUUGGCCAGCCCCCCGCACAACCCCUGCCCUUGCUGACUCAGGCAGGAAACCAGCCCGGGUAGUUUCGCUUCCUGGUUCUGACUGAUGCAGCCCCUCUGGCCUGCCCAACUGGCAAGAUUUACUUCUUUCGUUUCUUCCCUUUCGGAACACAGGUUCAUGGGCUAAGCGUCAGGGCCUCGUUGGGAGAAGUGGGCAUUCAGGCGGAGGGGGAUGGCGGAAGCAGGAGAGGAAAGGCUGAAAAAGCCACAUCUAGUGACUUCUCUGGCCCUGUGGGGAGGGCCAGUGUGCCAGGCAAGAGAGGACAGGCUGAGUGGCUAGUCUUGCUCUCCACUCUCUGGACAAAGGCAGCUCUCACAGCCCUCAGGCUCCAGAAGUCUCCACACUGAGCAAGGGGGUGUUAGGGUCCCCAUUUUACAGAUGGGCAAACAGAAGUUCAGAGAGGUGACAGGACUUGCUGAAGAUCACACACCCAGGAAGGGGCCGAAACUGGCACUGCACUCAAGGUGUAGGUAUUUUUCAGAGUCUGGGGCUCUCGGUUUCAGCCCCAGUGCUGGGCUUCUGUAGACAGGUGAAGGAGCAAGCAUAGAGGGAAAAGUCAUGCAGGGCAGUGAGGCUACUUGGGGAGGCCGAGGGGGUGGGGAGAAGGGGGAACAAGUGGGUUGACAUUCCAGACCUCAUACCUGUUGCGCCUGAAUGCCCUUCCUCGCCCCUGGGGUCCUCCUCAAAAGUCAUCCGGAGGGUUAGAGGGACAAAGGGAGGUGGUUUACAGGUGUCCCUGGCCCAUCUGGGCACCACUGGCCUCGGUGGGGUUGGCCUGAUUUCCUUGUGCCUCCUGGUGGCCCAGGGAGGCACCAGAAGACAGUUGGAGCUCACCGUGUCCCAGUGCUCGCUCUUCUGAGAUUCCAGAUAAAGGUUAACGAAUAAUUUCCAGAAGAGGGAAUAAUCAUGAUUCUCACAGGCACAUAAAGAUGGACACAGGUUAACAUUUUUAUUGAACUCACGUGGGAACGAGGCAGAUGUUAUACGGCUCAAAGAGAGUCUGGAGAGCAGGCACUUCACAUUAUCAGACUAUUUGCGCAAAUAAACGUGCAGAUGGGGGCAAAUUGUUUUUUUCUGUAGUGGAGGAGGGUUGUCCACGAGACCUCUGCUGGCCAGAAUGGAAUUUGCAUGUCUACAGAUAAGUGGUUUUAUAUUGCUAUCAGUUGCUUACAAUUUACAGAACUGAGAUUUCAAAGACAAUGCUAUGAAUCAGAUAAACCGGAAGGGUGUGUUGCAUAGAGAUGAUGCACUGAAUAAUCAGAACUGAUUCAUUGAAAUGCAAAAUUUUCCUCGCAAAAAAAAGGGAAAGAAUUCUUAACUUCCUUCAUUCAAUGAACACCUGUUCAUUAAGCACCUCCUGCACCGUCCUAGGUGUUGGGGACACAGCGGUGGACAAAGACCCAGAGAAAAGCCUAGAGCCAUGUGGAGUGACCACUGCCGGGGGUGGAGGUGCGGGAGGGCAGAGGAAGGGUCUCUGAGGGGACGUCCGGGAGGGGGAGGGAACCAUAGCAGAAGCGUGGGAGGGGGGGUUGUUUUGCAGGGGGCAGCCUUGGCUGGCUUUCCCAGUUUUCUGUUUUCCCUACUAGGAUGCCAGUCCUCAGCUCUCCCUUGCUGAGGCUGGCACGGAACAGGUGUACAAUCAAUCUGCUCAGUGGGCAGAGGGGGUCCAUCUCAAAAGGCAGAAGCUACUCACUGCCUGCUUAGGGGAGAUGCUGCUGCGCUGUGGGCAGAUGGCACAGGCAUUGGGGUUGCCUGAGUGGGCUAAAGGAAGGGUGUGCAGGACACACGCCUGAACGCAGCCCUGCCCUCCAGUCCUGCAGCUCCUUUCCCCAAGCCCACCCCAGCUGAAACCUGAGCAUUGGGUCUGGGGAAACUCCAGGACAGUCUUUCCAUCGGUUUGGGCACAGCUGCUGAAAGUUCUGGUAUUUCAAAAUGUAAAUCCGUAUUGUGUGAAAUUGCUCACUGUAUGUAGAAAACCAAUUUUUUUUUUUUU